This 234-nucleotide ribosomal RNA is filed under the name uncultured bacterium. RNAcentral's name for it is "partial 16S ribosomal RNA". It matches the Rfam family "Bacterial small subunit ribosomal RNA", at positions 32 to 240 of the family's 1533-position model. The record is from RNAcentral.
AAUCAACGCUGGCGGCGUGCCUCAGACAUGCAAGUCGAACGCGAAAGUUUCCUUCGGGAGACAAGUAGAGUGGCGCACGGGUGAGUAACACGUAGGUAAUCUACCUUUGGAUGGGGAAUAACAACCGGAAACGGUUAGCUAAUACCGCAUAAUGCAAGCGGCACCCUAAAUGGUGACAGUUGUUAAAAGCGGGGGAUCGAAAGACCUCGCGUCUGAAGAGGAGCCUGCGGCGGA